AGACGAACCGGACGAACGUUAUUCGGAAUCACUGGGCUUAAAGAGUGCGUAGGCGGCUUUGUAGGUGAGGUGUGAAAGCCCACGGCUCAACCGUGGUACUGCGCUUCAAACCACAAGGCUUGAGGGAGGCAGAGGUAAGCGGAACUGAUGGUGGAGCGGUGAAAUGCGUUGAUAUCAUCAGGAACACCAGUGGCGUAGGCGGCUUACUGGGCCUCUUCUGACGCUGAGGCACGAAAGCUAGGGUAGCGAACGGGAUUAGAAACCCCAGUAGUCC
This 274-nucleotide ribosomal RNA is filed under the name uncultured bacterium. Its description in RNAcentral is "partial 16S ribosomal RNA". It matches the Rfam family "Bacterial small subunit ribosomal RNA", at positions 523 to 796 of the family's 1533-position model. The record is from RNAcentral.